RNAcentral lists this ribosomal RNA (1343 nucleotides) under uncultured bacterium. RNAcentral describes it as "16S ribosomal RNA". It matches the Rfam family "Bacterial small subunit ribosomal RNA", at positions 28 to 1378 of the family's 1533-position model. The record is from RNAcentral.
GACGAACGCUGGCGGCGUGCUUAACACAUGCAAGUCGAACGGAAAGGCCCUGCUUUUGUGGGGUGCUCGAGUGGCGAACGGGUGAGUAACACGUGAGUAACCUGCCCUUGACUUUGGGAUAACUUCAGGAAACUGGGGCUAAUACCGGAUAGGAGCUCCUGCUGCAUGGUGGGGGUUGGAAAGUUUCGGCGGUUGGGGAUGGACUCGCGGCUUAUCAGCUUGUUGGUGGGGUAGUGGCUUACCAAGGCUUUGACGGGUAGCCGGCCUGAGAGGGUGACCGGCCACAUUGGGACUGAGAUACGGCCCAGACUCCUACGGGAGGCAGCAGUGGGGAAUAUUGCACAAUGGGCGGAAGCCUGAUGCAGCAACGCCGCGUGCGGGAUGACGGCCUUCGGGUUGUAAACCGCUUUCGCCUGUGACGAAGCGUGAGUGACGGUAAUGGGUAAAGAAGCACCGGCUAACUACGUGCCAGCAGCCGCGGUGAUACGUAGGGUGCGAGCGUUGUCCGGAUUUAUUGGGCGUAAAGGGCUCGUAGGUGGUUGAUCGCGUCGGAAGUGUAAUCUUGGGGCUUAACCCUGAGCGUGCUUUCGAUACGGGUUGACUUGAGGAAGGUAGGGGAGAAUGGAAUUCCUGGUGGAGCGGUGGAAUGCGCAGAUAUCAGGAGGAACACCAGUGGCGAAGGCGGUUCUCUGGGCCUUUCCUGACGCUGAGGAGCGAAAGCGUGGGGAGCGAACAGGCUUAGAUACCCUGGUAGUCCACGCUGUAAACGGUGGGUACUAGGUGUGGGGUCCAUUCCACGGGUUCCGUGCCGUAGCUAACGCUUUAAGUACCUCGCCUGGGAAGUACGGCCGCAAGGCUAAAACUCAAAGGAAUUGACGGGGCCCCGCACAAGCGGCGGAGCAUGCGGAUUAAUUCGAUGCAACGCGUAGAACCUUACCUGGGUUUGACAUGGAUCGGGAGUGCUCAGAGAUGGGUGUGCCUCUUUUGGGGUCGGUUCACAGGUGGUGCAUGCCUGUCGUCAGCUCGUGUCGUGAGAUGUUGGGUUAAGUCCCGCAACGAGCGCAACCCUUGUUCACUGUUGCCAGCACGUUAUGGUGGGGACUCAGUGGAGACCGCCGGGGUCAACUCGGAGGAAGGUGGGGAUGACGUCAAGUCAUCAUGCCCCUUAUGUCCAGGGCUUCACGCAUGCUACAAUGGCUGGUACAGAGAGUGGCGAGCCUGUGAGGGUGAGCGAAUCUCGGAAAGCCGGUCUCAGUUCGGAUUGGGGUCUGCAACUCGACCUCAUGAAGUUGGAGUCGCUAGUAAUCGCAGAUCAGCAACGCUGCGGUGAAUACGUUCCCGGG